ACCGCAUACGUCCUACGGGAGAAAGCAGGGGACCUUCGGGCCUUGCGCUAUCAGAUGAGCCUAGGUCGGAUUAGCUAGUUGGUGAGGUAAUGGCUCACCAAGGCGACGAUCCGUAACUGGUCUGAGAGGAUGAUCAGUCACACUGGAACUGAGACACGGUCCAGACUCCUACGGGAGGCAGCAGUGGGGAAUAUUGGACAAUGGACGAAAGCCUGAUCCAAAAGUGCCGCGUGUGUGAAGAAGGUCUUCGGAUUG
RNAcentral lists this ribosomal RNA (255 nucleotides) under uncultured bacterium. Its description in RNAcentral is "partial 16S ribosomal RNA". It matches the Rfam family "Bacterial small subunit ribosomal RNA", at positions 168 to 425 of the family's 1533-position model. The record is from RNAcentral.